CAAACCAUUUCCUCUUCCUUCUUAAUACCGAGAUACCGCCUCUUCACCAAUUCCAUUUCCUCUGCACAAUUUCACCGCAGCCACUACACUUCCUCUCCACAACCACAUCUCAUCUCUUCAUCUGCCUUGGACCGAGAGUAAAGGAGAGAGAGUUACCUUGUGAGCUGCAUCCGAGAGCAAGGGAGGAGGGAAUGCGAGCUGCAAAAAUUUUCUGGUUCUGCCGUGAGCUGGAGUGAAACCAGGGAGCAAAUUUUCGGUGAGCUUCACCAUUCUACACCUCCAUCUCCACCAACUCCAACCAACCGAACUCAACCUCACCACAACACCACUCCAGCCGCAACUCAAGAACCAGGACCAGCCGACCCGCGCUUGAAGCCGAGAGGAAGGAAAGAAAAUUCUGGAAUUUUCGUGUGUGAGCUUAGCUGGUAUUUGAGGAUUUAGCGAGGACUUGGACUACGAUUCCCGGCUUGACCUUUGAACUUCACUCUUGGUUCUGGAAACUGAAAGCCUUGAAACUUACCUAUAUUUCUUUUUGGAAUGUAAUUGGAUAGUAUGGCUUAUUUUGUGGGUUGUUUUGUGCUAAAAUUUGAACUACGUACUUUUAGUCUUGGAUUGCCGCGUGAAGCUGGAAAAUGUGUAAAACUUAAUUUGGA
Molecule: non-coding RNA, 653 nt
Organism: Coffea arabica (coffee)
Lineage: Eukaryota; Viridiplantae; Streptophyta; Magnoliopsida; Gentianales; Rubiaceae
Source: RefSeq, a predicted model, not a curated record